UCCGAAUCUCAUUGUUGCCUGUUGGG
RNAcentral lists this non-coding RNA (26 nucleotides) under Mus musculus (house mouse). Lineage: Eukaryota; Metazoa; Chordata; Mammalia; Rodentia; Muridae. The record is from RNAcentral.